Molecule: ribosomal RNA, 504 nt
Filed under: marine sediment bacterium ISA-3168
Lineage: Bacteria
Description: bacterial SSU rRNA
Rfam family: Bacterial small subunit ribosomal RNA
Source: RNAcentral
UGAACGCUGGCGGCAGGCUUAACACAUGCAAGUCGAGCGGGGUGAUGGUGCUUGCACUAUCACUUAGCGGCGGACGGGUGAGUAAUACUUAGGAAUCUGCCUAUUAAUGGGGGACAACAUCUCGAAAGGGAUGCUAAUACCGCAUACGCCCUACGGGGGAAAGCAGGGGAUCACUUGUGACCUUGCGUUAAUAGAUGAGCCUAAGUCGGAUUAGCUAGUUGGUGGGGUAAAGGCCUACCAAGGCGACGAUCUGUAGCGGGUCUGAGAGGAUGAUCCGCCACACUGGGACUGAGACACGGCCCAGACUCCUACGGGAGGCAGCAGUGGGGAAUAUUGGACAAUGGGGGGAACCCUGAUCCAGCCAUGCCGCGUGUGUGAAGAAGGCCUUAUGGUUGUAAAGCACUUUAAGCGAGGAGGAGGAGCUCUAGGCUAAUAUCCUAGAUGCUUGGACGUUACUCGCAGAAUAAGCACCGGCUAACUCUGUGCCAGCAGCCGCGGUAAUAC